GGCGGACGGGUGAGUAAUACCUAGGAAUCUGCCUGAUAGUGGGGGAUAACGUUCGGAAACGGACGCUAAUACCGCAUACGUCCUACGGGAGAAAGCAGGGGACCUUCGGGCCUUGCGCUAUCAGAUGAGCCUAGGUCGGAUUAGCUAGUUGGUGAGGUAAUGGCUCACCAAGGCUACGAUCCGUAACUGGUCUGAGAGGAUGAUCAGUCACACUGGAACUGAGACACGGUCCAGACUCCUACGGGAGGCACAUGGGGAAUAUUGGACAAUGGGCGAAAGCCUGAUCCAGCCAUGCCGCGUGUGUGAAGAAGGUCUUCGGAUUGUAAAGCACUUUAAGUUGGGAGGAAGGGCAUUAACCUAAUACGUUGGUGUCUUGACGUUACCGACAGAAUAAGCACCGGCUAACUCUGUGCCAGCAGACCGCGGUAAUACAUAGGUGCAAGCGUUAAUCGGAAUUACUGGGCGUAAAGCGCGC
Molecule: ribosomal RNA, 475 nt
Filed under: Pseudomonas sp. R-35706
Lineage: Bacteria; Pseudomonadati; Pseudomonadota; Gammaproteobacteria; Pseudomonadales; Pseudomonadaceae
Description: bacterial SSU rRNA
Rfam family: Bacterial small subunit ribosomal RNA
Source: RNAcentral